This 59-nucleotide microRNA precursor is filed under the name Monopterus albus (swamp eel). RNAcentral's name for it is "Mal-Mir-15-P1a2_pre stem-loop". The record is from RNAcentral. Lineage: Eukaryota; Metazoa; Chordata; Actinopteri; Synbranchiformes; Synbranchidae.
UAGCAGCACGGAAUGGUUUGUGGGUUACACUGAGAUACAGGCCAUACUGUGCUGCUGCA